Molecule: long non-coding RNA, 635 nt
Organism: Ornithodoros turicata
Lineage: Eukaryota; Metazoa; Arthropoda; Arachnida; Ixodida; Argasidae
Exons: 3
Source: RefSeq, a predicted model, not a curated record
GGAGAGCCAUCUUGACGACUGGUGUGAGCAGCGGCAAACGAGCUCCUUCGGCAUCCGGCACUACUGCAGGAGAAGACUGUCGGUACGAGAGCAGGAAGGAGAGCCAUCUUGACGACUGGUAUGAGCAGCGGCAGACGGGUUCCUUCGCCUACCGGCAGAUUACGACAGUGGUCUACUGCAGGGAACGGCGAUUUUGUCUUUUCUUGCCGGUGAUGCCGCCUAAGAGGAAUUCCAACUCUCUAGCACAGGACCUCCUACAGCACGUCCUCCGUUCGCCACUGUCUCAACAGCUCGGCAGCCAUAGCGACCCCAGGUCAGAUUUUCUCAUCGACUUGAACGCUUGACAACCGGCUGUCUGAGUCACCGACGAGGUCUUUCUGCACCCAACUCCUGGCUGGCUCACGUUCCGGUGACAUCUUGCACUUGUGGCCCAGUGUUGCCGCUGACAGUCUCCAAGGACGUGCAAUCUUCCUUUGCUACUGUGAGGGAACCUGAAGCUUUUCAAGCCGUAGCGCUACGACAGCGGAAAAGAAAUGCAUCUUGAUGGCUGUUGCUGGCAACAACAGCAUUGACGAUGCAGUUGUCUUCUGCAGGGAACUGCGGCGUAUGCAAAUAAACAUGCUAUUGUUAGUUAA